Molecule: RNA transcript, 3748 nt
Organism: Sarcophilus harrisii (Tasmanian devil)
Lineage: Eukaryota; Metazoa; Chordata; Mammalia; Dasyuromorphia; Dasyuridae
Gene: MRE11
Gene name: MRE11 homolog, double strand break repair nuclease
Exons: 21
Source: RefSeq, a predicted model, not a curated record
UUCCUAUUAAGCGAAAGGAUGGAUUUAAGUUAGAAUUAGAUCUUUGCUUUCAGGAACGCUUUGUUGUCCUUGCUUGUCAAGGAAAAAAAUGUUGUGUAUUAUAAGAACGUUUCCUCUUUCAGUAUGCAAAACCAGGGGACUCCCAUUCCUCCACAAGGGAAAUUUCAUUGGAAAAGAUCACUCUUUGUAAAAAGAGCAACCAAAGAGAACUUUUUGCUCUGUGAUUCUGCAGUAUGUUAGGCUUUUCUUGAGCUAGAUUAUAUAAAUAUAAAUAUAAAUAUAUAUGCAAGAGGCAACUGGUUUAGUGGGAUAUAUGACAUUUUAUAGAUAAGGAUUAUGUAACUUAAAUAAACGUGAUAUUAUGUUGUCACGUUCACAUAUAUAUAUACAUACGUACAAAAAGCUAAUAUAAUUAUGUGUUGUAUGUGUCAUUCACAUCCCUCAAACACAGCACAAACCUAAGCAGCUAAUUUAGAGACAGCAAUCAGAUCCCUCAGGAAAGUUACUGGUUCAAGUUCAUGAUGCACUUAUUUUACAGGCCGUGUGAUUCUGGACAAAGUCAUUUAACUUUUAAGUGAUUCAGAACAGGCUUGGAGAAUUUGAAAUCCAAAAUAAGUUUCCUGACCAGUUGGACCUUAGGCCAUAUUACAAGGUACUUGGUGAAAGUGCUGGCCCCUAGCAACUGGGUUAAUAGUAGAAGAAAUGAAUUCUGCAGAUACACUUGAUGAUGAAGAUACUUUUAAAAUUUUGGUUGCAACAGACAUUCAUCUGGGAUUUAUGGAGAAAGAUGCAGUCCGAGGAAAUGAUACAUUUGUAACGUUGGAUGAAAUUUUGAGACUUGCCCAGGAAAAUGAAGUGGAUUUUAUUUUGUUAGGUGGUGAUCUUUUUCAUGAAAACAAGCCCUCGAGAAAAACAUUACAUACUUGUCUGGAAUUAUUAAGAAAAUACUGUAUGGGUGAUCGUCCAGUACAAUUUGAAAUUCUCAGUGAUCAGUCAGUGAACUUUGGUUUUAGUAAGUUUCCAUGGGUGAACUAUCAAGAUGGCAAUCUCAACAUUUCUAUUCCAGUUUUUAGUGUUCAUGGUAAUCACGAUGAUCCCACAGGGGCAGAUGCUCUCUGUGCCUUGGAUAUUUUGAGUUGUGCAGGAUUGGUGAAUCACUUUGGACGUUCAAUGUCUGUAGAAAAAAUAGACAUUAGUCCUAUUUUACUUCGAAAAGGCAGUACAAAAAUUGCUCUUUAUGGGUUAGGCUCUAUUCCUGAUGAAAGAUUAUAUCGAAUGUUUGUCAAUAAACAAGUAACAAUGUUGAGACCAAAGGAAGAAGAGAAUAGUUGGUUUAAUUUGUUUGUGAUUCAUCAAAACAGAAGUAAACAUGGAGCCACAAACUACAUUCCAGAACAGUUUUUAGAUGAUUUUAUAGAUCUUGUUAUUUGGGGUCAUGAACAUGAGUGUAAAAUAGCACCAACCAAAAAUGAGCAGCAGCUCUUCUAUGUUUCACAACCUGGAAGUUCAGUGGUUACUUCCCUUUCCCCAGGAGAGGCUGUAAAAAAACAUGUUGGCUUACUGCGCAUUAAGGGAAGAAAAAUGAACAUGCAAAAAAUUCCUUUAAAGACAGUACGGCAGUUUUUCAUAGAGGAUAUUGUACUUGCAGAUCAUCCAAAUAUUUUUAAUCCAAAUAGUCUUAAAGUAACCCAAGCAAUACAAAAUUUUUGUUUGGAAAAGGUUGAAGAAAUGCUUGAAAAUGCUGAGAGAGAACGUCUGGGAAAUCCCCGGCAGCCAGAAAAACCUCUCAUAAGAUUAAGAGUUGAUUAUACAGGAGGAUUUGAACCGUUCAGUGUUCUUCGCUUUAGCCAAAAGUUUGUUGAUCGGAUAGCUAAUCCAAAAGAUGUUAUUCAUUUUUUCAGACAUAGAGAGCAAAAGGAAAAAACAGGAGAAGAGAUCAAUUUUGGGGAACUUAUUACAAAACCUCCUUCAGAAGGACCUACUAUAAGGGUAGAAGAUCUUGUGAAGCAGUAUUUUCAGACUGCAGAGAAAAAACUGCAGCUUUCCCUUCUAACAGAGCGGGGUAUGGGUGAAGCUGUGCAAGAGUUUGUGGACAAAGAAGAGAAGGAUGCUAUAGAGGAACUGGUAAAAUACCAAUUGGAAAAAACACAGAGAUUUCUUAAAGAACGUCACAUUGAUGCAGCAGAAGAUAAAAUUGAUGAAGAGGUACGUCAUUUCAGAGAAAGCAGAAAAAAGAAUACUACUGAGGAAGAGGAAGAGGUUCGAGAGGCAAUGAAUAGAGCCAGGGCCCAUAGAGCCGAGUCAGAAGAUUUAUCUUCAGAAUUUAGUGUUGAUGACCUUGCCAGCAUAGAUAUGGCAGAACAAAUGGCCAACGAUUCAGAUGACAGCAUCUCAGCAACAUCCAACAAAGGAAGAGGCCGAGGGAGGGGUCGAAGAGGUGGAAGAGGACAGAAUUCAGCAGCAAGAGGGAAUUCUCGCAGAGGAAGAGGAAGCACUCAGGAGACGUCUGUUCGAAGCCGGGGUUCUAAAACCUUUUCAUCUUCACCAACAAAAAACAUGUCUAUCAUUGAUGCCUUUAAAUCUGCACGACAACAACCUACUCGUAGUGCCACCACUAAGAAUUACUCAGAGGUUAUUGAAGAUGAUGAUUCUGACAUGAAUGAUGACUUUUUCCCUACGACUUCUAAAGUAGAUAAAAAGUUCUCAAGCAUCUCAUUUAGCAGAAAAAGUUCCCAGAGCCAGACAGCUAAAGGAGUUGAUUUUGAAUCAGAUGAGAAAAGAAGUACCUGCUAUGUGGGAGGGCAGCCAGGUCAACAAGCAUUGAUUAAUCGCCUACUAUAUGCCAGGCACUGUGCUGGACUUACAAAGAAAGGCAGAAAAGAGCCCCUACUUUCAAGGAACUGACAGUGCAGUGGAGGAGACAAAAUAUAAACAAACCAGAUACAUACAGGAUCUAUUGGAGACAGUGACAAAGGGAAGAAAGCAUCAUUACAAAGAAGUCUAGAAAAACUUCAUGUAGAGGAUGAUGAUGAUCCCUUUAUGAACAUGAAUUUAUCCAGAAGAAACAGAAGAUAAUUUCUGUCAGCUUUUUGUUGAUGGCACUUUUCUGAAAUGCUCAGGAUUCAUGAAACAAUCAGAAAACAUUACAGAUAUUAUGCAUUUGCAUAUAUUUCUUAAAGACUACUUGUUAAACAUUUUCUUUUAAAAUUGUAUUGUGGUCAAUAGCAGUGGAAUAUUUUGAAGUAAAAGGAUGAUUAUUAAAGCUACUAGGGUAUAAAAGUCUAUAUUUUUAAAAUAUUUCCUAUGGUUCAAAUCAACAUUGUUUUUUAAUGUUGUUAUCAGGAUGUUACUACUCUCUGGGAAUACAGUAACUCAUUAUAAAAUAAUAGCAUUUACCUAAUAUACAUAUGUGUGUGUGUGUGUAUAUAUGUUUAUAUAUAUAUAUGUGCGCACACAUAUAUGAGCAUAUAGAUUAAUGUGUUAGAGAAUAUCUUUAUUUUGUUCUUGGAAUGUUAGUUGUGAGAAGGAAGCUUAAAAAUAUCAAUUUGUAUUUCUACUCUGAAACAAUAAAAAAAUUGUUAGAAUUCCCAGAUGUAACUAUAGUCUGAAAAAAUUAGUUUAUAAAUUUUCUUUUCAUAAUUCAAAUUAGAUUAAUUUAUUGGGCUCCUACUAGUAAAAUUAAAUGGGCCAAAAAACAAGCAACAAAUACCAGGGUCCAGUCUCCCUUUCUGUUUUGAAUUGUUUUUCU